This 215-nucleotide long non-coding RNA is filed under the name Sorghum bicolor (sorghum). RNAcentral describes it as "long non-coding RNA (SBIC_LNC010896)". Lineage: Eukaryota; Viridiplantae; Streptophyta; Magnoliopsida; Poales; Poaceae. The record is from RNAcentral.
GAGUGGUGUAGUCGGAGUGUGUUUGGCGUGUUGAGGGAUCUCCCCCAUACUUGUUUUCUGCUUUCUUGCACAAGAAUAAAGUAGAGACACACAAGACAUAAUAAUAAUAAUAAUAAUACUCUUUAUUAAUCUUGAGGCAUUUAUUACAAAAGACUAGUAGCAAACUGAUGACAAUAGCAAACUGAUGAUAAUAGUAACAAACUGACAAUAAUAGU